RNAcentral lists this ribosomal RNA (288 nucleotides) under uncultured Neisseria sp. RNAcentral's name for it is "partial 16S ribosomal RNA". It matches the Rfam family "Bacterial small subunit ribosomal RNA", at positions 164 to 454 of the family's 1533-position model. Lineage: Bacteria; Pseudomonadati; Pseudomonadota; Betaproteobacteria; Neisseriales; Neisseriaceae. The record is from RNAcentral.
UAAUACCGCAUACGCUCUGAGGAGGAAAGCGGGGGACCUUCGGGCCUCGCGUUAUUCGAGCGGCCAAUGUCUGAUUAGCUAGUUGGUGGGGUAAAGGCCUACCAAGGCGACGAUCAGUAGUGGGUCUGAGAGGAUGAUCCGCCACACUGGGACUGAGACACGGCCCAGACUCCUACGGGAGGCAGCAGUGGGGAAUUUUGGACAAUGGGCGAAAGCCUGAUCCAGCCAUGCCGCGUGUCUGAAGAAGGCCUUCGGGUUGUAAAGGACUUUUGUCAGGGAAGAAAGGGU